AAAAUUUCCUUUCUUGCUUAGAAACAACUGGUAACUUGAGAGUGCUAACUCGUUAACUUUCUAGUUAUGAGAUCAGAUGACUAAAUUCAGUGGGAUUCAUUUGUGGCCCGACAUAUGUAGGAUUAUCGGCGUGAGACUAAGGAUAUUACAAGCAUGUAAAAGUAUUGUUAUUGUCACCUGGGAAUUGCUGGAGGACAAGUACAUGAGUAUGCAUAUAAGGUGCCAAAUUACAAAUAAACCAAAAUUAUGGGAGAAAGGAUGGAGUUUAAUUUUUUUAUCCCUAUCAGUUGCUUUCCCUAGAUACUCUUAUUUGACUAGUGUUCAGAAUGAAUUCCUCGAAAUGAUAGAUGAGAAGGAAAUGGGAUGCAUACAGUGUUUAUGGGCAGUAAAUGUAUAUAUGGAUGAGGUUGUGACGAGGGAGGACGUAUUAAUGAUUGGGAAUAAAAAAAUACCAAGAUGACACUGACUUUCCAAAGAAGACGAGAUGCAGCAAACUCUUGUUUAUGUUGCCCAAAUGCUGGGCUGGUGCCAUAAUUAAAGAAACUGGUGAUGUUUUGAAAACUGAACCAUGCAUAAAUAUGCUAUAAAAUAAAGCUUGCUAUGCAUUCUUGUACCACGAGAUGUCACCAAACCACCAAUAAAACUUAUCCUGGGGUCUUUCCAUUUAAAAAUAGGCUCUAGGUUUCUUUAACCCUAUCAUUCAGUAUGUUUGAAUGUGAAGAUGAAAUUAUAGCUUUUAAAACAAAAGGGAACUGGAGAAAAAUACAGAAACACUAUGGCUUGGGAUAAACCAUUGAGAUCCUUCCAGUUCUUCCAUUGAUUGGGUUGUUGUGUGGUUUCCGGGCUGUUUAUUUUGUAGUGCAUUUUCAAGCUAGAGAUUAAAUUAUUUUUGCUGGAGAUUUGAAACAGAGAUAUUUCUUCUGUUAAAUAAAUUCUUUUUUCUGGGCAACAAAGGACAAAAGGUGAAGGGGAAGAAGAAUAUCCAAACAGAAAAAGGCGAUAUGCAGGGAAGAUCUUCAUGUGUGAUGGUGAGGAUGGAAAAUUCGAAACUUUGCAGCAUUCGCUUUGAACAUGGCACUGUCUAAAAAGAUCAAUGAUGCAAACGGCUGCCCCCUUGUUUCGGCCCUGCCAUGUGGCUCUGGCUGCCUCUGCCAGGGAAGAAGGAAAGCCGCUCUGCUUGGUGAGUAAGCAAGGGAGGGGGGGCGGCAGUGGCGGCAGAAGAGCCUGCAAGAAGUGGCCAGACUUCUCUUCUGCCGCUGCUCCAACCGGCCAUGCUGGGAAACGUGGAGAACUCGGAAGAGGGGGCGGAAUUCUCCACAAGUCCUACGAACAGCGAGUCCACGAUAAGCAAACUGCAAAGUAGUGGAGGAACACUGUAUUGAAUCAUAACCAUGUAAAGCAUAUUUUAACAUUAUUGAUGCUAUAUAAUAAAUAAAGGUAGGAUUAUCAUACCUACUUUUGACCAUGUUGCACCUGUUUUCUAGGCAUGCCACCAGUAUCUAGUGCAGGUAUGGGUAAACCCAGGCCCGGGGGCCAGAUGCAGCCUUUUGAGCUCUUUUCUCAGACCUUCCUCUCUCUCUCUCUCUCAUGGUCCUAUCAGCAUGGGCACUGCAGUCCAACACAUCCUCAUGAUGAGAGAAGGACCGGGGAAGUAACACAUGACCUCAGCACAGCCCUGGGCAGAGCCUCUUCCUGGCCUGCUGCUCUUUGCCGGCCCACUCCCCUUCUUCGCAGCCUUUGCCCCCGUUGAUGAGGAGGGCGACUUCUCCUUCGCCUCUGCCUCCUCUUCCACCACCUUCCUCAAGGGCAAGUUCCCCCUUGGAAAGUCACUCUGGGAAAAUGCACUGCCCCCAAUGAGGGGGCUUUCAGGAGGCAGCCCACACUGUUGCUGGAAAAAGGAGCAGGAGGGAAGGAAAAAAGAAGAGCCCUGGGCAACCGCUUGCCAAGGGGAAGAUUUGACAUGUCAUACAUGCUCUCCUUCCCUUCCCUUCUGUUCCUACUCUUCUUUCCAAGGGGGAAGUUAGUCUUAAGGAAAGCAGAAGCUGUAGAGGAGUAGGAUGAAGAGGAGGCAGAGAACUCCCUCCCGGGCCACCCAACCCACUCCAGCUUGCCAUGCGGCCCCCAAGUUAAAAGUUUGCCCAUGCCUGGUCUAGUGGGACCAUCACUAAUUCCAGAUUCAAAGCUUUCAAUUUUUAAAAUCAAGUCUCCAGUCCUUGUAGGAGCAGAAUUACAAGGCAAAAUGUGCAGUCACUCUUCUGUCUAAUUGUUUUGUAAGAAACAAGUCUGCCCCUGCCUCUUAGUUAAGCCAAUGAGUGAAAUCUCACACUUAAGGCUGACACCUUAAUGGAUUUGACACCUAACAUCGGAUUUGCCCAGUUUGACAAGAUUCUUUGUCUCCCAAUAUUAUUUUGCACUUCUUUGGGUCAGUGUUACAACUUUGAAGAAAAAUCUAUUUUUUUUAAGGAAAGUCUAGCUGAAAUCUGCUCUGCAGAGCUCCUUGUAAAUAAUGCAUUGAAUGCUAUGGAGUUAAUAGAGGGGAUACAGAAGAAAAGAUACAGCAAUACAAUGAUUACAACAGAAGACUCCAGGGAAUCAGUUUGAGCCGUCUUGAUGUUACAAUAUUAUCCAUUUUUAGUACACGCUGAGAAAUAAAUCAAGUUCAGUUUUAUGAGGGGCAGUUAAGUUUCUCCAAUCACUUUCUGUGGGAAAAAAGGAUACUCCCGUUAGUGCCACUUGGGACCUCAUCACAUGGACUUCAGGAACUAUGCUAGGACACUGUCCAGAGAACAUGGGAGGCUUCCCAUGUUCUCAUUAAGAUAGAAUGGGGGGAACCCAUGUGAUGGGGAAAACAGCACAGUGGGUGAUGUGGGAUGUGGGACAAUGGUUCCUCCCGCUGUCUCAUGGAUUCGCCACACUGCCUGGCAAAUCCCCCCACUGUUGCCCGGCUUCAUGACCUCAGUAUGAUGAGGUCCUUGGUUUCUAAUCCAUCUUGCAUUCCCCCACUGUUCUUGCUACCAUCUCCUCUACCUUGCUUUGUCCUCUCCAGCUUCUUGUCUUGCACAAUACUGGCUCAGAGUGGCUUCCAAAUAGCAAACCAGUAUUUAAAAAACAGUAAAAUAAUUUAAAUAAGAUAAAAUAAGCCAAGACACAUUGGAUAGCAUACAUUUUAAAAGCUUAUAACACUAGGUAUAAUGGUAUUUGGGCUGAUUAAAUGAGGCCCAAACAGGAUGGGACACAAGGUGGAAAUCUGUAUUUUCACAUUCAUGACAGGAAGAAAAAAAAGUGAAGCAGUCACUGCUGUGUGGCCUUCGAUUGUACAAAUUUGAGAGUUGUUUGUGAGCAAGCUCACAUCGAGGUGUAUUUGCCCAGGAAACAAAUUUGCCCAGGAGAUGAGUGUGCCAAGGAGACAAACUCAUCAUGUGAUUGCUGCAUGUGUUGCUAAUGGGACAAUGAGGGAUCCAUAUGGAGCUGGAAAAUAUGAAGUGAAAAUCUUAGAUGGGGCCCAGGAUUCAAAUACCUACCGAGCCGUGGAAACCAAUUGGGUGACCUUGGACAGGUCACACUCACUCAACCUCAGAGGAAGGCAAUAGUAAACUUUGUCUGAAUAAAUACUGAGUCAAGAAAAUUCUAGGAUAAGGCCACUCUAACCUAGAAUUGAUCUGGGGAUGCAUAGUGACAGCAAAGUUCAGAAGUGACAUUUUUCAAAAUAUAGAAUUGUAUUUAGGUAUCUCAGGUACUUUUGACCUGUUAUCUUACUUGAAGGGUAGAUUUUUGGGGGAGAUGGUUUAUUUAAUUUUUUUUAUUGAUGCAUUUCAUUAUUCAUUCAUUCCAGGGAACAUGUUAGCUAGACUAAAUCAGAAUGAUUUUAUUUUCCAGGAGGAAAAUGACAAAACCAUAUCUGACAGUUGAUUUCUGAUGGAUGGUGGUGUCUGGAGAAUUCAAGUGCUGUACAACCCCUCCCAGGGGAAGCAAGGGGGGUGGACGGGUAUAGGGUUGCCUGAAAUAAUUCAUCCACGAAUAAACUUCCAAUAUGUGGUAAAAUCUGUAGCAGAUUGCUGUGGUGAUCAAAUGGGCAUCAGCAUUGGCGGUUUACUUUGUAUUUCACUUGUUUAAGCAAAGUGUCAUUAAAGCUUCUCCACCCUAUCCUGACCCCAAUUCAUUUGGGUGAUAAUCUGUUUUGCCAAAGGUCCAGUGAUUAGGUCAGAGGCUAAUCUCUUCCAUUUCUCCUGAAUGAACACUUUAGAACUCCAGCCAUUAAAAUGUUAAAGGCCACAUUCUGACUUUAGAUAUACACAGUGGAGUCAAAAGAAAUGAUGCGCAUUUGUCAGAAAACACAGUGUAACCCCAAACAAGAUAAGAACUCAUUAAGUGGCAGCCAGGUACAACAUAGCAGAGGAAGAUUCAUCCUUCAAGACAAAGCACAGCUUGCUCAAUUGGAGCUCCAGUGGUUGGAUGGAGAAUUAAAAAUUAAUGACUGAGUGGAGAAUUAAAUUUGGAAGUAGAAAUAGCUGUUGGUUAACAGGGUUGUCAAUUGUUUUCCAUUGAGAGUAAGCAGAGAAAUAAAAAAAAAAUCAUACCACCAUCAGGAGCAAAUUACAAAAUAAAUACAAAUUCAAAGAAUAAUCUGGCAUGCUUGCUGGAGGUUUGUUUCCCACAUUUGUUCUAUUCAGAGGCCAUGGUAAAAAUGGCUUUUUCCUAAAGCGCAUGGGGCUGAAUUAACUCCCCCCCCCAAAAUACUGUACAAUAUAUGUGGUGUCAUUUUCCCGGUGAGUGGUUUUGGAGUUAUGGGCUCUUUUUUAAAAAAUUCCUGGCUCAGUACUGGGAGAAGGGAUUUUUAAAAUUCUGCCAGAAGCGACUUGAGAACAUGCAAGUCGCUUCUGGUGUGAGAGAAUUGGCCGUCUACAGAUAUAUUGCCCAGGAGAUGCCUGGAUAGGUUACUAUCCUGCUGGGAGGCUUCUCUCAUAUUCCCGCAAGCUAGGGCUGACAGACAGGAGCUCACCCCGUCUCAUGGAUUAGAACCAGCAACCUUCAGGUCAGCAACCUAACUUUCAGGUCAGCAAUCCAGCUGGCACAAGGGUUUAAUCCAUUGAACCAUCAUGGCUCCUUGGGAGAAGGGAUGACAUAGUAUGAUUCUAUGGGCACGUAUACAUCGAACAUUUAAUGCAGCUUCAAGUCAACUCCAAGUUGUUGUGGCUAGAAAAUGCCUACUGACAAAGUGUGCUGCAGUGCAAAUGAAGGGGUUUAAACUACAUCAAGCCAAGUUGGGAGAAAGUCCACAUUAAACCCCUUAAUGUGGUUUAGCGAGCCUUAAAUCUAAAUCACAUUACACAGUAAAAUUGGCUCUAUAGAAUGUGAAGCGCAUUAAACAUUUGGAAUGAGGGGGUGAGGGAACUAUUUUAAAAACACUCCAAGGGCAUGGCUGGGCAGCAGGGGGCUAAUUGUCGUAUCACUUCCUCUCCUUUCUUCUUAUGCUUCUGGAGCACUGGUGUGCAUCUAGGGAUCUUAUCACAUUAGGAAAUACUCUGUUUCUGAGACUGUUUGAGAAUGAUUUCAAACGGGUCCCAUCACAUGACAUUUGCCCCAUCCUGUCAGAAUCCAUCAGCAAAGCAUCACAGAAACUGAUUAUUUGCAGACGGAAUUCUAAUCAUGUUUUUUGAAAUACUAUUCUUCCGCUGCUGAAGUGCUGUUUUUGUGUGUGAUAGGAAAAUCUGUGUGCAUCUCAUCAGCAAUUAUACUUUUUAAAAGGUCAUAAAAUGAUGUAGGGGGUGUUUUGAAUGGAUUGGGAGGAGCCAGACUUCUGUGAUGUGAUGAGUCUGAGUGCAGUAUUUUCAAAUCAUAAGAAUCAUGAUAAUCAGGUGUGAUGAGGAGGGUAUGCAUCCCGUCUCAAAACAGUAUGGAUUCAGUCCUAAAAAUAUAUGGGAUGCAUACUGAUAUAAAUGGAUUAUAUCCCAAUGUGAUAAAGUCCUUGACGGAAAAUGGGGAAAAUAUUAUGGAUUCUGGUACCGGUUUUGAGGCCACCUUCUGUGGUUAAUGUAAUCACUUUACUGGCCUGAAAUUUGUUUUUUUCACUCCAAUCUAAUUAUUUUUACAGCAAAAACAGUUUCUCACAAACCAACCUAAGAGGUCAGUGCAGAUGUUCCUGCAUGAAGAAGGCCUGAAGAGGGCAUUAGGAGCGCCUACAAAUUGAAACAUGUUGGACAUCUCAACUGAUAAACAUACUGGCUGGAAUUGUAAAGCAGUCAUCAAUGUGUAAUACUGAGUUAUGCAUUUUGUUGGAGCAUUUAAAAAUCAGUAUGUGUGUUAACUGGAAAAUGCAAAGCAUGAAGCUGAUUGGUUGUGCCACACCAAGGGAGCUAACUGAGCCUGGGAAUUUUAGCAACAGUUACAGAUGGCUUUCUGUGCAGGAGCUUAGCAAGAAGAGAGGUUUGCUCCUGGGCUGCCGAAAGGAAGACAUUUUUCAUGGACAAUCUAAGGACCAUUUGAAUCUCUUUCAAAGGACAUUGUGUGAGUCAAUGUAAUUGUUCAAAUGACUGUAUAUAUGUAGCUCUUGAACAGUAAAAUUCUUGUUCUUUACUGAU
Long non-coding RNA from Anolis carolinensis (green anole), 6578 nucleotides. RefSeq lists it as uncharacterized. NCBI's taxonomy places the organism in Eukaryota, Metazoa, Chordata, Lepidosauria, Squamata, Anolidae. The record is from RefSeq and is a predicted model, not a curated record. The transcript is spliced from 3 exons.